UACAGAGACUGCAAGCGUUAUUCGGAUUCACUGGGCGUAAAGGGUGCGCAGGCGGCCAAGUGUGUCAGGUGUGAAAUCCCGAGGCUUAACCUCGGAACUGCGCCUGAAACUACUUGGCUAGAGUACUGGAGAGGGUAACGGAAUUCACGGUGUAGCAGUGAAAUGCGUAGAUAUCGUGAGGAACACCAGAGGCGAAGGCGGUUACCUGGACAGUUACUGACGCUCAGGCACGGAAGCGUGGGGAGCAAAAGGG
RNAcentral lists this ribosomal RNA (253 nucleotides) under uncultured bacterium. RNAcentral describes it as "partial 16S ribosomal RNA". It matches the Rfam family "Bacterial small subunit ribosomal RNA", at positions 524 to 776 of the family's 1533-position model. The record is from RNAcentral.